This is a long non-coding RNA of Peromyscus californicus insignis, 15369 nucleotides long. RefSeq lists it as uncharacterized. The record is from RefSeq and is a predicted model, not a curated record. Lineage: Eukaryota; Metazoa; Chordata; Mammalia; Rodentia; Cricetidae. The transcript has 3 exons.
AGAGAGAGAGAGAGAGAGAGAGAGAGAGAGAGAGAGAGAGAGAGAGAGAGUGUUUAGUUCUCUACAGAGUAUCCCAUAUUCUGAACAUGAGACAACUGUUUUCCUGAGUCUUUGGUUUGUCUUGUAGCCAGGACUUGGCAUAACCACACCAUAGAAAAUAGGUCUACCUAGGGAAAGGCGCUUUUUGCCAAGCCUGACCACCUGAGUUCAAUUCCCCUGGACCGAUGUGGUAGGAGAGAACUGAUUCUUGCCAGCCCUCUGACCUCCACACACAUGCCACACACAGACUUGCCCCUGUAACACACACAGAAAUAAAUAAGUAAAGCUAGUGAUAAACUUCUACACACUCUGAACAGGCAUCUGUGACCCACGUCCCCAUGGAAAGUGCCUGAUGCUGGCUGGACCCAGUGCUAAGGUGGUGAUGCCUCACUGCUCCAUCAUGACAGGUCAUUGUCACCUUGCAGCGAGCAGAGGAGUUGCAGGCAGGGUCGUCAUUUGUCACUGCACAGAACCCAACCCCCAGUGACUUUCUGAUGGGAACUUUCAGUGGCCAGAAUGACCCAUUCCCUGACCUGAUUUCUCCCUGGGGAGCACAAGUAGAGAUUUUCCAACUCUACCAUCUUUCCACAUUUCCUGUGAAGAAGUACGAAGGCACGGUUGUGUCUAGAAUGGGGAAGUGGCAGAACUGUCAUCAGUAGUGACAGAUGAAGUGGGUUUCCCCCUUUCGAUUUCUUUUCAAACAUUGCUGUGAGCACACUGAGGUUUUUUUUCAUUAUUAUUUUUUAGUUAGCUUACAAAGCGGCCAGUUUCUUUGUGGCGUUUUCAUACACACUUAGUUUUGAUCGACCCUUUCUGCAAUCUCUUUGCUCCCUCAUUCCUGUUAAAGCCUUCCACCCAACAUCCCCCCGCCCUGUGGUUGGAUCAUAUGUGUUCUAUUACCCUCCCUACCUUUCUCCCUUAAAGCCCCUCUCUGGGGCCUCUGCACACACUCACGUCUCACAAAUACACACAUAUAAGACAUAGAAGCCUGGACCUGCCCCGUGCCUGGCUUCUCAUUUAAUUUAUUGCCUCCCUUAAGAGAUUUUCCAGUUCCAUUAUUUUCCUGCAGAUGUUUUGUUUGUCCUUGUUUUCUCUGAUUGACCUGUGAGGCUUGCUUUGAGCUUUUUGGUUUUUGUUUGUUUGUUUGUUUGUUUUGUUUUUAAGGUAGGUUCUCCCGACAUAGACCAGACUGUCCUAGUACCUGUUAUAGCCCAGACUGACCUGGAGCAGAUGACCCUCCCACUUUAGCCUCGGGCGUUCAGGGAUUACAGGCCUGCACCUCCAUACCAAGCAGAACUCAUAGGUUUUUAUUUAUUUGAAGUUUUUGAUCAAUUUGUUCUUUUUCUUUUUGAUACUCCAGUUAUUCUGGAUUUGGCCAAGCCUAAGAUCUGUAGACUAGGCCAGCGGACUGGAAAUGCCUAUGAGACUUCUGGUCACAAUCCAACUUAAUGCUUUCUAGUCCAGAAACUACAGGUUUGGCUAGCCCCGCCUUUAUCUGAUAGCAUGAGGCUCACCUUAGGAAGGGCUGCCUUUGUUACUGACAUCAACUGACUUUAUAUGUCAAUCAUAGCUACAAAAUUUCUUCCCAGCAACAGCGCUACUAGUGUUCAACACAACAGUGGGUCUAAGCAUGCCGAUACAUAAAAGCGACCAACACAGAUGGGUUCUUUUUUUCUCCAGGAAUAUUUCAAGCUCAUUGCUAUAGACUGAAUGUUUUUGCCUCCCUCCCCAAAUUAACAUGUUGGAUGAGAAUGUUUUACUGAACAUAAGUAACAAAUCAGGUCAUACUUGGAAGGCACGAGGCUUUAAUUUUGUUUGUUUGUCUGUGUUCUGUACGCCUUCUGUCUUGGUUUCUUUUCUUGUUGCUGUGAUAAAAUAUCCUGAUAAAAAGCAAGAUAAGAAGAAAGGUCACAGGGGAAGCUGGAGCGUAGCACACCCUGCUCCCAGCCCAGAGAUGCCACAGUCAUCCUAGGCCAGCCUCCAAAACAGAUGCCACAGACAGGAUGGGAGCGGAGGUCUUGAAGGACUUCAGGCUGGGUGCUGAUCCUCACUUACACGGUCUUCCCUGCGCUUACCGUGUGGCCUCUCUAAGCUGGGGCUUUAACUUUAAGUAGGAUAUAUUUUUAAGUGCACAUCCCUGUUCUGCUUUUUAAGUUCCCUUCCAUCCCCCACCCCCCACCCUGCCUUUUACUUGCAGCUGAAACAGCGAGGAAUGGUUAGAUUAGAUCUGCACAGCUCAGAUGGAAGGGGAGGAAGGUAGAAUCUCCACAAACCGCCUGGCCCUGGUCCUCAGACUGGCUGGGGACAGCUCCUGCCCUGGUAUGCUGGCCUUGGAUACUGGCCCCUGGGCUAGGCCCAGACCAGACACUCAUUGCUUGUCCUGAAACAGCAGCAGGUGCCACCUCUGUGCACAUGCCCUAAGUGUCCACUUUUGUCCUAACGAGUCACCCCGGUUGCUCAUCCUUUGCUCCUGAAGCCCAGGCACUAAGAGUCCCCAGCGCCUGGUGGGUGAUUCACCCUUGUUCAGCAGUCUCUGUCAGAGCACCCUCUUGAUGUCAGAGCCUGGCAUGGGGAAGGACUAUUGCUUGGCCUUUGUAAGGGGAGAGCUCACACGUCUCACUGCUUCAUACUGUGUGGCUAAAUGAGGAAGUGGGGGCUGGGGAAGGUAGCUGGUCGGCUCUGUCAUUCCUAUCUCAGCAUCCCAACACAUUACCCUAUCAGUCACCACCGCUGCCCAUUGUGGUAGUUUGAAUGUAAUUGUUCCCCAUAAAUUCAGAGAAUGGCACUAUUAGGAAGUGUGGCCUUGUUGAAGUAGGUGUGGCCUUGUUGGAGAAAGUGUGUCACACUGGGGGUAGGCUUUGAGGUCUCCUGUGCUCAAGCUUCCCUCAGUGUGACUUUCAGACCAUUUCCCUUUGCCUGCAAGAUAUAGGACUCUUAACUACUUUGCCAGCUCCACAUCUGCCAGCGCGCCCCCAUGCUCCCCACCAUGAUGACAAUAGACUGAAUCUCUGAACUGUAAGCUAGCCAUCCCGAUUAAAUGUUUUCCUUCAUAGGAGUUGCCGUGGUCAUGAUGUCUCUUCACAGCAAUACAAACCCUAACUGCGAUGCCCAUGUGUCAUCUUCAGUGCUGAAACUCCUUCAAAACCACAUUCACCAAGGAUGUGCUGGAAGCUGAACAUGGUAACACACACCAGUUUUUCCAGCUCUGAGGUUCAGCCAGGAUCAUCGAGAGUUUGAAUCCAGCCACACUACAUAUAUAAUUUCCUUUUCAUAUACAUAAGAGUCUGUCUUCUGUAACUUUUUUUAGUUAAAUGAUUCCAGUAGAAACUUUAUGAAUUUCAGCUACAUUUAUAAAGUCAACAUUUUAAUUAAAAAGAAAGUAAAUGGUAUACAAAUGAGAUAUUUGCUGGGUUUUGCAAAAUACCAAGAACUAGUAUUUUCUAUAGAUUAAAAACUACCUGAAAGACUGGGGAGAUGGGUCAGUGAUUAAGAAUGCGUAUUGUGGCCGGGCGGUGGUGGCACAUGCCUUUAAUCUCAGCACUCAGGAGGCAGAGGCGGGCAGAUCUCUCUGAGUUCAAGGCCAGCCUGGUCUACAGAGCGAGUUCCAGGACAGGCACCAAAACUACACAGAGAAACCCUGCCUCGGGGGGGGGGAAAAAAAGUAGAAGAAGAAGAAAGAAGAAUGCAUAUUAUUCUUUCAGAGAGGGAUCAGAUGUCUCCUGCCUCCAAGGGCACCAGCACUCUUGUACACAUACCCACAUAUGUACACAGACACACAUACCUAAUUACACAUAAAGACAAAACUGUAAAAGCUAUAGGGAUGUGUGCCUAAUGUGCACCCGUCCUGGGUUCAAUUCCUAGCAGCAAAAACAAACAAAACUCAGCCUACAUGGCUUAUUAUUAGGUUGUCUAACCAAUACCCUAUUUUUUUGAAAAUCAAAAAUGAUUUCCAAUUUUCACAACUGCCAAUCAACCUUUUAAUUAAUAUCCUCAUGUUGUGCAAUAAUCUUCAAAUAAGAAGAACUGUGGCUAAUGAGCUUUGACACUUGCCUGAUUUGGGAUGGACUUUGAGUCUCUGUGUCCUCGCCUGCAGAAUGAAAUAAACUGUGCACUGUACAUUAGUCUAGCUUGGCUCAAACAUGCACGUAUCUGAGAAGAUAAGGCUGGUGUGGGAAGCCCCAGCCCACUGUGGGCAAUGCUACUCCUGUGCAGGUGUUUCUGGGUUAUAUAGAAAUAGGGCUGAGUAAGCCAUGGGGAGCAAGCCAGUAAGCAGUGUUCCUCCAUGGCUUCCACUUCAGUUCUUGAUUCAAGUUCCUGUUUUUGUUUCCCUCCAUGGACUGUGACCCAGGAUAUGCAAAACAAAUGCCUCCCCCGACUCACACACAGUUUGCCUUUGGUGGAGGUCUUUACCACAGCAACAGGAAGCAAGGGAAGACAGUGUGUCUGUUUCCCACUGCAAUAUCAAAAUACCUGAGUAAAUUAAAUUACAAAGAAGAGAGAGCUGUUUGAGUCCACAGUUCCAGUCUCUGGUCAGUUGGUCCCAUUGAUUCUGGAUUGUGGUGAGGCCGAGCAUCAGGCAGGGGUGUGUGAUGGAGUGCUCAUGUCGCGGCAGUUGUGGCCAGGAAAUGCAAAAAAGAGAGAGGAGCUGGACAUCCAACAAUUCCACACCCCCAAGUGCAUGAAUACCUCCCCACUGGAUCCCACCUCUCAAAAGUCCCCAAUAGUGCCAAUCUGGGGACUAGCUUCUAUCACCUAGGACACUGGGAGACAUUGUGCCUCCAAACUAUCGAACAGCUCCUGGAUGCUGGUGAGCCUGGGAAUCCCACCAACUGAAAAGGAGAGAAAAGGCAGAAACUCGUGAGCCUACCUGAGCCCGGGGCUGAAAGGACACAACAAAAAUCCCAAUGAGCUCCAGGGUGGGUGGAGUCUCAGGUCACUGGCCUCCUAAAGAGCCAUCCCUCUGCCCCUUCAAAACCCUAUCACCACUGAGGGGUACCCAGGCACGAUGUUUAAUAUUGAUUGUCCACUUGCCACUUGGGAGACAAUUCUCUGGGUAUGUCAGUGAAAAAGCUUCUGGAUUGGGUUGAUGUGGGAAGUGUUGGUUUUAUGCAGCACUUUUACCCUGAGAGGAAAAGUCACGAGGCACAACAAAACCCACUAUAAGAGUUUUAUUAGGAGGAGAGAGGGACAGGACACAGUGUGUGGUCAGGCCUGCUGAAAAGACAUGUGCGGAGAGAGGGGGGAGGGUACAUGGGACCCGCCUUUUAUAGACUACCUUGUGCAUGUGCACAUGAGCCCACGUGGCUACUCCACACAUGCACAUAGAUUACGUGAUCACGCUGCACACAAAUUAUGUGACCAUGUAGCACAUGGAUUACGUAGGAUGUAGGGCCUGGAAAUGACUAGGUGGAAAUGACUAAAUGUCUCGCCAGGGCAUGUGCGAUCAUGGGGGCGUGGCUAGAAUUCCUAUCAGGAGGACCCUCCCUAAGUGUGAGUGACCUCAUCCCCUGGGCUUCCGGGCUGAGCUGCCUGGGAAGGAGAAAGUGAGCUGAGCGCCAGCACCCAUCCCCCUCUGCUUCCCCGGGGCAGGGGCAGUGUGACCAGCUGCCUGCCGCUCCUGCCACUCUGCCUUCCCUGGCGUCAUGGACUGUGUAUCUUCAAACUGUGAGCCAAGAUAAACUCCUUGUCCAGUAUUUCAUCAUAGCCAUGAGAAAGGCUGCACUGUGAGUGCUGGUGGAAUUUGUGAGCAUGAGCAUUCAGUGCUCAACUGCAAAGUAUUUGCAAGCAUGGCCACCUUUGGUCGCCUCCGACUUUAGAGUAGACAGGACCAGGAUCUUGCAAGGGUCCGUUCUCCCAUCCCGUGCUUUACUAUCCAGGUAUUCUACACAGAACUCUAGAAACUCUCAAAGGACCCAAGUCUAAGACCAUGAGGGAUUCUUUAGGGAGCUGAGCAGGAGAUGCCCUGAUUUAAAUGAAAAGGCCUGCUGUGAGAUGGGUGGUUAUCCCCGUCCUAAACUCAUGUUAAACUGUGCUGUGACAACCGGGGAGGAAAGGGUUUAUUUCAUCUCACAGCUCACAGUCCAUCACAAAGGGACAUUCUGAAGGCAGGAACUGAGGCAGAGGAGUGCUGCUUCCUGGAUUGCUGUCAGGCUUAUGUUCAGCUACCCUUCUCAUACCUCCCCAGGGACCAUCUGUCAGGAUUGAGACUGCCCACAGCGGACUGGGCCCUGCCACAUCCAUUAAAAAAUCAAGAAACUGUUCCUCAGACAUACCCACAGGACAAUCUGAUGAAGUGACUCCAGCUUGUAUCGAGUUGAUGUGAAGCUAGCUGUACAUCUCUGAUCUUGUGGAUGCUGGAAGCCUAGGUGAGUGAUGUUCUCUAGCUCUGGUCCUACAAAAGCCUCAUUGUAUGGUAUUGUCUGGUCCCACCAGAGCUGGAGGCCUGUUGUCUUUGCCUUUUGACAUUUGGCUAUGAGGUGAUUGUUGGGAGUCACUCUGAACUGAUCCUCCUUGAAGUGUGUAGAGUACUUGAAAGUAUACGCCAGGAUCUGUCAAGAUCUCUAAGCCUUCGUCUAUUAUUUCAUCAACACCCCCCCCCCAUCUGGAACCCUCAUUAUGCUAGUGUGGCAUGCUCGAUGGUGUCCAUUGGACUCUGGCGUGUGGCUCAGCUCAUCUUUCACUCUGUUAUUGAAAUGUGAUUGUCUCAAUGGACAUUGAUUUUCUUUUUCUUCUACUUGCUCACAACCGCUGGAAAGUUGUACUGAUGAGCUUUUCAUCUUAGGUGUUAAAUUUUCAAUUCCAGAAUUUUUUUUUUCAUGAAGGAGUGAGAGACAGGGUCUCACUACAUAGCCCAGGCUAGCCCAGAACUGGCCUUCCUUCUGCCUCAGCGCUGAGACUGCAAGUGUGUCACCAAGCCCAUGUCAGACUUUUCCACGUGGACAUAGAUGAGACCAUUUUUGUGGUUUUAUUGGCAUUUCUGUUUGUUCUGAUAAUGCUCUUUCUGUUGGUAUGGCCUAACUUCUCUGUUUGCCUUUUUUUAAUCAUAUGAAUAUACUUAAAUUUUAAGAAACAUGGUCUUACUGUGUUGCCCAGGCUCGCCCCAAGUUCCUGAGUUCAAAAGGCCCUCUGCCUCAGCCUCCCUAGCAGCUGGGGCCACAGGCAUGCACCACUAAAAUGGAUCUAAACAGCAGCUUUAAAGUCCUUGUCUAGCGAGUCCAACAUCUGUACUUCCUCGCAGACAGUGUCUACCGGUUAUUUUUAGUUCCCUGUCCAUGGGCCAGCCUUGUGUCUUCCAGUGUUCCUAUUGUUUUGUUAAAAGCAGGAUGAUUCAUAUCAUACAUUGUUGACUACCCCGAACACCAAAUUCUCUAUCUCCAGAGAAUUUGAGUUUUGCUUUUUGUUUUGUAUAUUUUAUAAAGUUGAUUAUGCAAUCUAUUUUUAAAAAUUAUAGCCUGAAGUCUCCUCAGUUACCAGGGUUGUUUCCAGAAUGUUGAAUGGUCUGUGGGUAUUCAUUUCCCCAGAUUUCCCUUUCAAAGAUUCUGGUUAGUCUGCCGUGCGUUAGUCACUGCCCCAGACAUCCAUGAAGUUACUCAGUUGCCUGAAACUGUUUUCAGUGAAUGCCCUGUAACAAAAAUGCCUUUCCCUUUGUGUGAGCACAGAGACAGGCCGUGAGUAGACAUCCUUCCAAGUGGGUUUUCUGUGGGCUACUUGACCAGAGUGUAAUGGUAGCCAUUUGGCAAAGGGGUUUGAAAGCCCUAUGAGCAUGUCUGUUUCCUUAGGUGGCUGCUAAGAUUAUCAUUUUGCUAGGAAUACGGGUUGUAACAUUUUAAGGUUACUUGGGGAGAUGUAACUAAGGCUUAGAAUUCUAACCAAAAGCCAGCCACUUUCCAUAUAUAUAUAUACAUACAUACUCCCCAGACUUCUGCAAUUUGAUUCAUUUUUAACAUUUGAAGAAAAAAAAAAGAUUCUGACAAUUUUUACGCAUUUUCUAAUGGCUUUUAAAAUGUUUUAAUUAAAAUAAAAUCACAUCACAUAUCAUUUUCCUUUCACCCCUGCAACCCCUCCUGUGUCCCUUCCUCCUUCUUCCUCCAUGUUACCCCUCACACUCUCUCUCAAAUUGGUGGCCUCCAUUUCUUUUCUUCCCUUUUAUUCAAAAUAGAUUUUUUAUACAAUAUAUUCUGAUUAUGGUUUCCCCUCCCCCAACUCCUCCCACUUCCUCCCCUCUUCCCCUCCCAUCCAGAUUCACACCUAACAGACAUCUAAGAAAUAAUAAUAACAUAAAAUAAAUACAAUAAGAUAAAUCAAAAACAAACAAAUUGAAAUAUGACAAAACAAUCAAACAAGAGAAAGAGCCGAAGAAAAAGCACAAGGCAUGCAUAUAGACACGGAGACACACAUGUUUGCACACAUGCACGCAUGCACGCACACACACACACACACACACACAGGAAUCAAAAAAAACCCCACAAAACUGGAAACCAUAAUACAUAUGCGAAGGGCCUAUCAGAUUUUUUUAAUGUCCUGACUUAACAUUUAUGAGACAAAGAACCUCCAAAGAUGUUGUUGACUUCAUUAUCUGUUGGCCAUCUACUGCUGCACAUAGAGCUUACCCUUAAGAGUGGUUUGUUUCCUUCCUGGAAGAAAACUACUUUUUCAUUUGCAAGUGGCUAUCAAUUGGAGAUAGCUCAUGGAUUAGGGAUGGGGCCGUGUGUCCACUUCUCUCAGCUGUAGGACCCCAUGUGGUGCAGACCCAUGCAGGCCUGUGCAUGCUGCCUCGCUCUCUGUGAGAUCAUAUGUACACCAGCCCUGUUGUGUCUAAAAGGCCUUGAUUCCUUGGUGUCCCCAUCUCCUCUGGCUCUUACACUCUUUCUGCCUCCUUUUCCACAUUCCCUGAGCCAUGAGGGGAGGGAUUUGAUGGAGACAUCCCAUUUAGGGCUGAGUGUUCCAAGGUCUCUCACUCUCUGCAUAUUGUCUGGCUGUUGGUCUCUCUAUUUAGUCCCAUAUGUUGCAGAAGGAAGCUUCUCAGCUAAUGGCUGAGCGAGGUACUGAUCCAUGAGGAGAGAAGAAUGUUGUUAGGAGUCAUUUUAUUACUACAUCUCUUUAGCUAAAUAGUAACAUUUGGUUUUACCCUGUGUGAUAGUUUGAAUGUAACUGGCCUGCUUAAGCCCAAAAGGAGUGGCACUAUUAGGAGGUGUGGCCUUGUUGGAGGAAGUGUGUCAUUGUGAGGGUGGGCUUUGAGGUCUCCUUUGCUCAAGCUUCACUCAGUGUGAUACUCAGACCACUUCCUGUUGCCUGCAGGUCAAGAUGUAGGGCUCUCAGGUCCUUCUCCAGCACCAUGUCUGCCUACAUGCCACCCGGUUGCACCAUGAUGAUAACAAACUAAACCUCUGAAAAUGUAAGCCAGCCCCAAUUAAAUGUUUUUCCUUUAUAAGAGUUACCAUUAUAGAUCAAAGGGUUUGUAGAUGGGUUGGUGUUUACCUUCUCUUAUGGUAGUGUACAGAGUACCUCCAAGUACCCUGACGCUAGUCAGUAUGGGUAAAGGCUUUAGGUGGGUACCAGCUUGACUUCUCUAUGCUCAGUGAUUUGUGUAGAUGUUGUCUCCAGCAAUAGAGCCUUUCUGUCUCUUGGUGGAGAAUCAAUAACCUUGGCAAUAACCUGACUUGUUUGGGGGUUCCCAUGGAAACCCUGUGGCCAAGAACUUGAUUAGAUAUAACCCAUUUCUAGUACUGGAAGCUCCAUUUGGUAAUGAAAGAUGUCCAGUUCAGGCUCUGUCUCAUCCAUUAUUUGGUAAUUUCAUUGAGAUCACCUUCAUAUAGGUAUGUAUCAUAGGAAGCUUCUACUGUAUUCGGUUUUCAUAAAGCCCCUCAAACGGCACUGAAUUUUAGCUAUCCAUCCCAUAUUCCAUUCCUUGACCCCUUCUUCCUGCCCCUCACUGUUUGAUCCUCCUAUCCCAGUUCCUGCCAUAUCCAUCCAUUUUCUCUGUGUGUCAAUAGUUAUUAGUUGCCUGUAGUUCUUUGUCCAGGAAUAAGACCCUGUGAGAUGAACACCCCUUCUGUGUCCACGUGUCUAUUGGUGUUGUUAUUCUUCAGGUCUAGUUUAGGCAGCCAUGUUGUUGGAUAUCCUUGGUGUAGCCUCCCUAUCAUUUCUGGGAGAUACAAUGUCACAACCAAUUUCCUGGUCCUCUGACUCUUACAGUCUCUGCUCCUGUUUUCCUCGGUUUCCCCUGAGCCUUAAGUACAGUAGUUGUAGCAUAUAGAUGUAUCUGCUGGGCUCCCCGCAGUCAGUUGUCCUCUGCAUUUUGACCAGUUGUGGUUUUCUGUGAUGGCCUCCAUCUGCUGCCAAGGGAAGCGUCUUUGAUGAGCGACAGCUAUAUUUAUCUGUGGGUAUAAAGAUAAGUUUUAUAAUGCAGUUAGAAAUUAUGCUGGUCCAGUAAAAUGGUAGUUGUAGACUCUCCUCUGAGAUCCAUGACCUCACUAGCCCUGAGUAGCUGGCUAGGUUUCCAGUACCAGGCAGGAUUUCCCUCUUGUUGGGCAGAUCUUAAGUUAAUACCAAGGUAUGAGUGUCGUUGCAGCAUUUUUGGGGAUGUCUUGCCAUGCUGGUCACUGUUGUGCUUCAUAGAUGUAACAGCUGGAUAGGACUAUCGAUGGCUUCCCUAUCUUGGAAGCCUGCACAGCACUCUUUUCCAGCUACUUGUGUAGAGAGAAUUCUGAGUCCUUGCUCUACCAUUUCCACCCACAUCUCUUUCACAUUUGGCAUUCUACUCAAAGUGUAUCCAAGUGCAAUCAGUAGCCUGGACUGUCAGCUGGAUGGCCUCUCGAGUCACCGUGGAAGCAAGUCUCUGGACAUGUCACUGGGGGAGUUUCUAGGUUAGGCUAGUUGAAGGGAGGACACUCACUAAAUGUGAGUGCCGCCGUCCCAUGCACUGGGGUCCUGAACUGAAUACAGAGACGGUGAGAGGAGCUGUAAUAUUCAUCACAGUCUGCUUCCUGAGUAGGGGACACAGCGUGACCACCUGUUUCAUGGUCCCGUGGUCAUGCCAUCCCUACCACGACAGGCUGCAUUUCAAGAUCUGAGCUAGAAUAGACCCCUCCCGAGUUGCUUUUUAUCAGGUUUGUUUGUUUUUUUUCAGCAACAAGGAAAGUAACUAACACAAAUGCUUCACUAUAAGCCAACUUGGUUUUACAUUAUUUGCCAUGGAAUGAAAUCAGCUCUCAAGAAGGAUGGGCUGAGUCUAUUCUGGGAGCUCACACCUGCCACUCCCAAGCGGCAAAGCUCUAUUUAAUGUUCUAAUUCUGUGUUGUCUCAUCUACCAUAGUAUAUCUGCCCUGGGUGUAGAAACAAGUAGCCUUCAUUCCUGUCUACUGUGUCUGGCAUAAAAUGGGAACAGGGGUGGGAGUGUAAAUGAGAACCCCAAAUGAAUGUCCCAUGUUCUUAUUUAUCUGACUACCCUAACUUUGGGUAGGACAUCCCAGUAAUACUAAGGAGUGUCCUAAUGUCCCUACUAACUUAUUUCUGAACUCUGACGAAAGACUUCGGCAUCCGCGAUCCAUGAGUGCUCUGCCACCGGCUAUACGAUUCCUAAUGGGAAUCACUAUUUUGAAAUUCUAGGUUAGAUGCCUCUAACAGUAAGGACAACAUUUCUUUUUAAUGAAUAUAAUCAAGGAGGCUACAGAAUGGCUACAUUUCCAUAGCAGCUCCUUUCUCUGAACCCGAACAGCAAAUGCUCAAAAGAGCAGUAACAACGUGCUCUGACAGUGCACAUGUGUACAUUGACAGUGAGUGUGUGUGUGUGUGUACAUGAGUGUGUGUGUGUGUGUGUACAUGAGUGUGUGUGUGUGUGUGUGUGUGUGUACAUGAGGAGACAUGCCCGUGGAGACCAGAGGCAUCCCAUCUCCUGGAGUUGCAGCUUUGGUUUUAAGUCACCCAACAUGGUUGCUGGGAAUCAAACCGGGGUUCUCUGCAGGAGCAGUAUAUACUCUCUUAACCGCUGAGCCGUCCCUCCAGCCCCAAGAAGUGACAUCUUAUGGUCAGUUUUGAUGCUGUUGAACUGUGUGUGUGUGUGUGUGUGUGUGUGUGUGUGUGUGUGUGUGUGUGGCAUGCAUGCAUGUGUGGGUAUGCCUGGCUGUGUAUGUUCAUAGAGUCCAGGAGAGGGUAUCCUGUGUCCUCCUUUAUCAAGCUCUUCCUCUUUCUUUGAGGCAGGACAUUCUCCUGGUACCUGAACUCUUGGGUAGGGUGGAAUCCAGGAGACACAGUGAUCCUCCUCCUUUCUCGGCUCCUCUCAGAGCAGGACUCAACCUGUUCAACCUGUUAGAUAGAUAUUGGGAUCCAAACUCUGGUACUCAUGAUUACAGAGCAAGCAUUCCUAACUACUGGGCCAUCUCUCUGGCCCCUGUUUUAUUUUAUUGAAUUGUCAAUCUUCAUGAUCUAAUAAUUGAGAUUGCUAGUAUUUUACUUCCUCCAGCUCACUACAAACUUUACAACAUAAUAUAUACUUGUAAAACUAGACACGUUACUGUGUGUCACUUUUCCAUAUUAACUGUAUAAAAUAACAAGUUUCAUCACAGCAGUUUCAUGCAUGUAUACAACAACUUCUAUAAGUUAACAUGUAAGGCUUACUCCUGGCCCAAUGUAACAAACUAUUCCGUGCUGUGGGAUGUUCUGUAUGGCAAAUGUGUUGCUGAUUAGUCAAUAAAUAAAACACUGAUUGGCCAUUGGCUAGGCAGGAAGUAUAGGCGGGACAAGGAGGAGAAUAAAGCUGGGAAGUGGAAGGCUGAGGCAGAGAGACACUGCCAGCCGCCAUGAUGAGAAACAGCAUGUAAAGAUGCCGGUAAGCCACGAGCCAUGUGGCAAGGUAUAGAUGAAUGGAAAUGGAUUAAUUUAAGCUGUAAGAACAGUUAGCAAGAAGCCUGCCACGGCCAUACAGUUUGUAACCAAUAUAAGUCUCUGUGUUUACUUGGUCGGGUUUGAGCGGCUGUGGGACUGGCAGGUGACAGAGAUUUGUCCUGACUGUGGGCCAGGCAGGAAAACUCUAGCUACAUUUCCGUGUGUGUGCUCCCUUGAAAUUCACUUGUUGAGGCCUGGAGAGAAGACUAAGUCAGGAAAGUGCUUCCUUGAAAUCAUAGAGACCUGAGCUUAACACCCAGGACAAAGAACAGCCAUGGUCGACCUCUGACCUCCACAUGCACAUAUGCAUAGAGGCCGAUCUUUGACUUCCACAUGCAUACACACAUAGAGGUUGACCUCUGCCCUCCAUAGGCACACAUGUAUGAAGAUGCACACACACACACACACACACACACACACACACACACACACACACACACACACAUAACACAUGUUUUCUUUAACUUCAUUGUUGAGCCCAAACCCCCAGUGUGAUGGCAUUCACAGAUGGAAUAGGGGAAAUGCCUAGGGUCAGGUGUUCAUUCUCUCUCUCUCUCUCUCUCUCUCUUUGAAGCUUGCUAUUUAUUUUUUCAUUUUUGUUCUCUAUUUUUGAGGUUGUAGUAUAAUUACAUAUUUAUUUUCCCUUUCUUCCAUCUAAACCCUCCCCUAGACCUCUCCUUGUUCUCUUUCAAAUUCAUGCCAUCUUCUUUAAAAAUUGUUCUUGGGUUGGGGAUUUAGCUCAGUGGUAGAGCGCUUGCCUAGCAAGCGCAAGGCUCUGGGUUCGAUCCCCAGCUCAAAAAAAAAAAUAAUAAUAAUAAAAAUAAAAAAAUUGUUGUUAUAUGUGUAUAAUAUAUACUCACAAAUAUAACCUGCUCAGUGUGAAUAAUGUUACUUGUAUGUUUUCAGGGCUGACAUUCGGUGCUGGGUAGACAGUUGGUGCGCUCCUCCCUGGGGAAGACUGUCUCUCCCACUCUCAGCGUUCCUUAGCUGCCUGGAGUUGUUUGCGAAGGGCUGAGGCCUCCUGGGCUUUACCCUGCUCAUUUUGGGAUGUCCAUUGUUGUCCUUGUUCUGCUCAGGUUUGGGCAGCCGUGUUGGUGAGACUUUAUGUGCGCAGCUUCUGACAUUCCUGGGAGACACGGUCUCGCAGCAAAUGUCCUGUCCUCUGGUUCUUACAAUCUUUCCUCCCCCUCUUCCUCAAUAUCCCCUGAGCCUUAAGUGUGGGAGCGUUUUGUAGAUGUAUCCAUUGGGACUGGGCUCCAAAAUUCUGCAUUUCAAUUGGCUGAGGUUCUCUACAAUGCUCUUUAUCUGUUGCAAAGAGAGGUUUCCUUGAUGAGGGGUGAGGACUGCACUUCUCUGUGGGUGUAAGGACGAACAUUUAGAGUGCACUUAGUGAUUGUGCUGGUUUAGUAAAGUGAUGGUUGCAGUUUCUUCUCCAAGAUCCGUGACUUCAGUAAUACUGGGUCGUUGACUAGGUUUCUAGUACCAGGCAUGGCUUCCCUCCUGUUGAGCAUUUCUUAUGUCCAAUUAGAGAGCAGUUGAUUACUGCCACAGUACACAUGCCACUACUUCAGGGGCAGUCUUGAAGGCAAGGCCUUCACCAUGGGAUUUGUGAGUGCUGGCAGUUUCUCUGGGCUUCUGAGUAUGCAGUAAGAACAUGCCAGGGAGAGCAUCCUUCCCGAAGGCCAAAUCUGCUGGCAGCUUUGUCUUAGACAUCUAGCCUUCUGAACCAUAAGACAUAAAUAACUGUGGUUUUUUGUUGUUGCAGCCUGCAUCCUGAACGAACCAGAACAUCCAGGAUUCCAGAUUUUAGCAAAAUGUGUUCAGAAAGCCUAAAGAAAUAACAAAUCUCUAUACUCCACAAUAUUGUAAAAUACAGUGUGUGUGUGUGUGUGUGUGUGUAUGUAUGCAUACACAGGGGCGCAUGUAUGGAUGAUUGUGUGUAUGUGAAUGCAUGCAGAGUUCAGGAAACAAUGGUGUCUUUCCUCCUCAGGUGCCAUCUGCCUCAUUUUUUGAUACCAAGUCUUUCACUGGGAUCCAGGCUUCUCAAUUUAUAUAGACUUGCUGGUCAGUGAGCCCAGAGAUCCUCCUGUCUCCACCUCCCCAGCACGGGGAUUAGCAGGAUGGGCCAGCUCAUCUGUCUCUUUAUGUGGGUUCUGGGGAUCAAACUCAUGCCUGCCCAGCAAGCAUGUUCCUGACUGAUCGUCUCCCAAGACUUUAAUACGGCUUUUCUUCCCACCUGCAAGGUUGCUGGGGAGUUUGAUUGUUAAUAUUUCAAAAACACCUUUGAAACUGAUCACAGAAAGAUGAACAUGAUUGAUGAAAGUACUAUCCAAAUUCCAGACAUGGCUCUGACUUCAUACGAAAUGUGUGUGGGUCACAAAGAUGCAUACUGCUUUCUAAAUUUCAUAACAGCUUGUGUAGCAUGGAUGUCAGAUUUCUUUUUUUUUU